This 672-nucleotide ribosomal RNA is filed under the name Fusarium redolens. Its description in RNAcentral is "SSU rRNA". It matches the Rfam family "Bacterial small subunit ribosomal RNA", at positions 346 to 937 of the family's 1533-position model. The record is from RNAcentral. Lineage: Eukaryota; Fungi; Ascomycota; Sordariomycetes; Hypocreales; Nectriaceae.
UUGGAGAAGUGGCAAGUCUUCCAGUAUGGGGAGCAAAACAGCUAUGGGUCAAGUCCGAGAUCUUUAGGAGAAGUCUUAUUGUGAGGGCGAGUUAUAUAACACCAUAGGACUGGCCGUCCCAUAUGAAAAGAUUAUAUUAGAAUUGAAUGAAGCUUUGUUUAUAUAUUGAUAAUGACAGUAUAUAUAUCGUGUCUUGACUAAUUGCGUGCCAGCAGUCGCGGUAAUACGUAAGAGACUAGUGUUAUUCAUCUUAAUUAGGUUUAAAGGGUACCCAGACGGUCAAUAUAGCUUAUAAAAUGUUAGUACUUGACUAGAGUUUUAUGUAAGAGGGCAGUACUUGAGGAGGAGAGAUGAAAUUUCGUGAUACCAAAGGGACUCUGUAAAGGCGAAGGCAGCCCUCUAUGUAAAAACUGACGUUGAAGGACGAAGGCACAGAGAACAAACAGGAUUAGAUACCCAAGUAGUCUUUGCAGUAAAUGAUGAAUGCCAUAGGUUAGAUUAAUAGUUAAUGUUUAUAGGCUAAUUAUUGGCUUAGCUUAGCAAACUAAUGCUAUAGACUAGACAUUAAAAAUUAUUUGGUCUAUAAAUGAAAGUGUAAGCAUUUCACCUCAAGAGUAAUGUGGCAACGCAGGAACUGAAAUCACUAGACCGUUUCUGACACCAGUAGUGAAG